UAACCUCUAAUUUCAGCUGAUUGGAUGAGAAGUGAAAUGAAUUCAAGAAACAAGAGAAGUCCACCGGAUGGUCAUCUAAUGACUGACAAAAACUACAAAUGUUUGACUCCCUCUGCAAAAAAACAUUUUUUAAAUGAGGGAUUUAUAGAUUUCAGCAGCAGGAGCUCCAUGAAAGUCCAAACUAAAACCAAAAUAAGAUUUCUCUGUCCACAUUUUCCCUCAGCAAAUACAAACUGUAAGUCUAAUGGAUUUGUCUGUAGCUGCAUUUCAUUACAAAUGUUUGCAAAACCUUUGUUGGUAUUCAUGAAAAUCCGGGGGAGAAGGUGUAAAUCUCACGCCAGGCCGCACCCAGCAGUUAGACCCAAUCUUUUU
Xiphophorus hellerii (green swordtail) is the source of this 372-nucleotide long non-coding RNA. RefSeq lists it as uncharacterized. The transcript is spliced from 3 exons. The record is from RefSeq and is a predicted model, not a curated record. Lineage: Eukaryota; Metazoa; Chordata; Actinopteri; Cyprinodontiformes; Poeciliidae.